GACGAACGCUGGCGGCGUGCUUAACACAUGCAAGUCGAGCGGUAAGGCCCUUUCGGGGGUACACGAGCGGCGAACGAGUGAGUAACACGUGGGUGACCUGCCCUUAGCUCUGGGAUAAGCCUGGGAAACUGGGUCUAAUACCGGAUAUGACUCCAUAACGCAUGUUGUGGGGUGGAAAGCCUUGUGCGGCUAGGGAUGGGCCCGCGGCCUAUCAGCUUGUUGGUGGGGUGAUGGCCUACCAAGGCGACGACGGGUAGCCGGCCUGAGAGGGCGACCGGCCACACUGGGACUGAGACACGGCCCAGACUCC
RNAcentral lists this ribosomal RNA (310 nucleotides) under uncultured bacterium. RNAcentral's name for it is "bacterial SSU rRNA". It matches the Rfam family "Bacterial small subunit ribosomal RNA", at positions 28 to 339 of the family's 1533-position model. The record is from RNAcentral.